UACGUAGGGGGCAAGCGUUGUCCGGAUUUAUUGGGCGUAAAGAGCGUGUAGGCGGCCAUACAGGUCAGCUGUGAAAACUCGAGGCUCAACCUCGAGACGUCGGUUGAAACCGUAUGGCUAGAGUCCGGAAGAGGAGAGUGGAAUUCCCGGUGUAGCGGUGAAAUGCGCAGAUAUCGGGAAGAACACCCGUGGCGAAGGCGGCUCUCUGGGACGGUACUGACGCUGAGGCGCGACAGCGUGGGGAGCAAACAGG
This 253-nucleotide ribosomal RNA is filed under the name uncultured bacterium. RNAcentral describes it as "partial 16S ribosomal RNA". It matches the Rfam family "Bacterial small subunit ribosomal RNA", at positions 524 to 776 of the family's 1533-position model. The record is from RNAcentral.